RNAcentral lists this ribosomal RNA (582 nucleotides) under Vishniacozyma carnescens. RNAcentral describes it as "partial large subunit ribosomal RNA". It matches the Rfam family "Eukaryotic large subunit ribosomal RNA", at positions 62 to 634 of the family's 3401-position model. The record is from RNAcentral. Lineage: Eukaryota; Fungi; Basidiomycota; Tremellomycetes; Tremellales; Bulleribasidiaceae.
AAACUAACUAGGAUUCCCUUAGUAACGGCGAGUGAACCGGGAUGAGCUCAAAUUUGAAAUCUGGCGUCUUUCAGGCGUCCGAGUUGUAAUCUAUAGAGGCGUUUUCCGCGCCGGACCGCGUCCAAGUCUCUUGGAAUAGAGUAUCAAAGAGGGUGACAAUCCCGUACUUGACGCGACAACCGGUGCUCUGUGAUACGUUCUCAAUGAGUCGAGUUGUUUGGGAAUGCAGCUCUAAAUGGGUGGUAAAUUCCAUCUAAGGCUAAAUAUUGGCGAGAGACCGAUAGCGAACAAGUACCGUGAGGGAAAGAUGAAAAGCACUUUGGAAAGAGAGUUAAACAGCACGUGAAAUUGUUAAAAGGGAAACGAUUGAAGUCAGUCGUGUGGGAAGUAUUCAGCCGUCUCUGGCGGUGUAUUUGCUUCUCACGGGUCAACAUCAGUUUGAUCCGGUAGAAAAAGGCGGGAAGAAGGUGGCACCCUCGGGUGUGUUAUAGCUUCCUGUCAUAUGUGCCGGACCAGACUGAGGAACGCAGCUUGCAGCAAUGCCGGGGUUCGCCCACGUACAAGCUUAGGAUGUUGACAUAA